This 1300-nucleotide ribosomal RNA is filed under the name Curtobacterium pusillum. RNAcentral describes it as "bacterial SSU rRNA". It matches the Rfam family "Bacterial small subunit ribosomal RNA", at positions 73 to 1383 of the family's 1533-position model. Lineage: Bacteria; Bacillati; Actinomycetota; Actinomycetes; Micrococcales; Microbacteriaceae. The record is from RNAcentral.
GCCCAGCUUGCUGGGUGGAUUAGUGGCGAACGGGUGAGUAACACGUGAGUAACCUGCCCCUGACUCUGGGAUAAGCGUUGGAAACGACGUCUAAUACUGGAUAUGAUCACUGGCCGCAUGGUCUGGUGGUGGAAAGAUUUUUUGGUUGGGGAUGGACUCGCGGCCUAUCAGCUUGUUGGUGAGGUAAUGGCUCACCAAGGCGACGACGGGUAGCCGGCCUGAGAGGGUGACCGGCCACACUGGGACUGAGACACGGCCCAGACUCCUACGGGAGGCAGCAGUGGGGAAUAUUGCACAAUGGGCGAAAGCCUGAUGCAGCAACGCCGCGUGAGGGAUGACGGCCUUCGGGUUGUAAACCUCUUUUAGUAGGGAAGAAGCGAGAGUGACGGUACCUGCAGAAAAAGCACCGGCUAACUACGUGCCAGCAGCCGCGGUAAUACGUAGGGUGCAAGCGUUGUCCGGNAAUUAUUGGGCGUAAAGAGCUCGUAGGCGGUUUGUCGCGUCUGCUGUGAAAUCCCGAGGCUCAACCUCGGGCUUGCAGUGGGUACGGGCAGACUAGAGUGCGGUAGGGGAGAUUGGAAUUCCUGGUGUAGCGGUGGAAUGCGCAGAUAUCAGGAGGAACACCGAUGGCGAAGGCAGAUCUCUGGGCCGUAACUGACGCUGAGGAGCGAAAGCGUGGGGAGCGAACAGGAUUAGAUACCCUGGUAGUCCACGCCGUAAACGUUGGGCGCUAGAUGUAGGGACCUUUCCACGGUUUCUGUGUCGUAGCUAACGCAUUAAGCGCCCCGCCUGGGGAGUACGGCCGCAAGGCUAAAACUCAAAGGAAUUGACGGGGGCCCGCACAAGCGGCGGAGCAUGCGGAUUAAUUCGAUGCAACGCGAAGAACCUUACCAAGGCUUGACAUACACCGGAAACGGCCAGAGAUGGUCGCCCCCUUGUGGUCGGUGUACANGGUGGUGCAUGGUUGUCGUCAGCUCGUGUCGUGAGAUGUUGGGUUAAGUCCCGCAACGAGCGCAACCCUCGUUCUAUGUUGCCAGCGCGUUAUGGCGGGGACUCAUAGGAGACUGCCGGGGUCAACUCGGAGGAAGGUGGGGAUGACGUCAAAUCAUCAUGCCCCUUAUGUCUUGGGCUUCACGCAUGCUACAAUGGCCGGUACAAAGGGCUGCGAUACCGUAAGGUGGAGCGAAUCCCAAAAAGCCGGUCUCAGUUCGGAUUGAGGUCUGCAACUCGACCUCAUGAAGUCGGAGUCGCUAGUAAUCGCAGAUCAGCAACGCUGCGGUGAAUACGUUCCCGGGCCUUG